AUUGAACGCUGGCGGCAUGCUCUACACAUGCAAGUCGAACGGUAACAGGCCGCAAGGUGCUGACGAGUGGCGAACGGGUGAGUAAUGCAUCGGAACGUGCCCAGUCGUGGGGGAUAACUACUCGAAAGAGUAGCUAAUACCGCAUACGAUCUAUGGAUGAAAGCGGGGGACCGUAAGGCCUCGCGCGAUUGGAGCGGCCGAUGUCAGAUUAGGUAGUUGGUGGGGUAAAGGCUCACCAAGCCAACGAUCUGUAGCUGGUCUGAGAGGACGACCAGCCACACUGGGACUGGGACACGGCCCAGACUCCUACGGGAGGCAGCAGUGGGGAAUUUUGGACAAUGGGCGCAAGCCUGAUCCAGCAAUGCCGCGUGCAGGAAGAAGGCCUUCGGGUUGUAAACUGCUUUUGUACGGAACGAAACGGCUCUGGUUAAUACCCGGGGCUAAUGACGGUACCGUAAGAAUAAGCACCGGCUAACUACGUG
This 482-nucleotide ribosomal RNA is filed under the name uncultured bacterium. RNAcentral's name for it is "partial 16S ribosomal RNA". It matches the Rfam family "Bacterial small subunit ribosomal RNA", at positions 30 to 507 of the family's 1533-position model. The record is from RNAcentral.